Molecule: ribosomal RNA, 1429 nt
Filed under: Escherichia coli
Lineage: Bacteria; Pseudomonadati; Pseudomonadota; Gammaproteobacteria; Enterobacterales; Enterobacteriaceae
Description: partial 23S ribosomal RNA
Rfam family: Bacterial large subunit ribosomal RNA
Source: RNAcentral
CGGGACACGUGGUAUCCUGUCUGAAUAUGGGGGGACCAUCCUCCAAGGCUAAAUACUCCUGACUGACCGAUAGUGAACCAGUACCGUGAGGGAAAGGCGAAAAGAACCCCGGCGAGGGGAGUGAAAAAGAACCUGAAACCGUGUACGUACAAGCAGUGGGAGCCUCUUAAUGGGGUGACUGCGUACCUUUUGUAUAAUGGGUCAGCGACUUAUAUUCUGUAGCAAGGUUAACCGAAUAGGGGAGCCGAAGGGAAACCGAGUCUUAACUGGGCGUUAAGUUGCAGGGUAUAGACCCGAAACCCGGUGAUCUAGCCAUGGGCAGGUUGAAGGUUGGGUAACACUAACUGGAGGACCGAACCGACUAAUGUUGAAAAAUUAGCGGAUGACUUGUGGCUGGGGGUGAAAGGCCAAUCAAACCGGGAGAUAGCUGGUUCUCCCCGAAAGCUAUUUAGGUAGCGCCUCGUGAAUUCAUCUCCGGGGGUAGAGCACUGUUUCGGCAAGGGGGUCAUCCCGACUUACCAACCCGAUGCAAACUGCGAAUACCGGAGAAUGUUAUCACGGGAGACACACGGCGGGUGCUAACGUCCGUCGUGAAGAGGGAAACAACCCAGACCGCCAGCUAAGGUCCCAAAGUCAUGGUUAAGUGGGAAACGAUGUGGGAAGGCCCAGACAGCCAGGAUGUUGGCUUAGAAGCAGCCAUCAUUUAAAGAAAGCGUAAUAGCUCACUGGUCGAGUCGGCCUGCGCGGAAGAUGUAACGGGGCUAAACCAUGCACCGAAGCUGCGGCAGCGACGCUUAUGCGUUGUUGGGUAGGGGAGCGUUCUGUAAGCCUGUGAAGGUGUACUGUGAGGUAUGCUGGAGGUAUCAGAAGUGCGAAUGCUGACAUAAGUAACGAUAAAGCGGGUGAAAAGCCCGCUCGCCGGAAGACCAAGGGUUCCUGUCCAACGUUAAUCGGGGCAGGGUGAGUCGACCCCUAAGGCGAGGCCGAAAGGCGUAGUCGAUGGGAAACAGGUUAAUAUUCCUGUACUUGGUGUUACUGCGAAGGGGGGACGGAGAAGGCUAUGUUGGCCGGGCGACGGUUGUCCCGGUUUAAGCGUGUAGGCUGGUUUUCCAGGCAAAUCCGGAAAAUCAAGGCUGAGGCGUGAUGACGAGGCACUACGGUGCUGAAGCAACAAAUGCCCUGCUUCCAGGAAAAGCCUCUAAGCAUCAGGUAACAUCAAAUCGUACCCCAAACCGACACAGGUGGUCAGGUAGAGAAUACCAAGGCGCUUGAGAGAACUCGGGUGAAGGAACUAGGCAAAAUGGUGCCGUAACUUCGGGAGAAGGCACGCUGAUAUGUAGGUGAAGCGACUUGCUCGUGGAGCUGAAAUCAGUCGAAGAUACCAGCUGGCUGCAACUGUUUAUUAAAAACACAGCACUGUGCAAACACG